AGUCAUACSCUUGUCUCAAAGACUAAGCCAUUCAUGUGCAAGUAUAAACGCUUGAACCGUGAGACUGCGAAUGGSUCAUUAAAUCAGUUAUAGUUUAUAUGAUGGCGUUUUCUACGUGGAUAUCCGCGGUAAUUCUAGAGCUAAUACAUGCAAAAGGUCCCGACCUUUGGAAGGGACGUAUUUCUUAGAUCCAAAACCAAUGCGGGUGUUGUCCCCUCGGUGGCGCCCCGGUCUCUUGGUGAUUCAUAGUAACUUCUSGAAUUGCUAGGCCCCCGCGCCGGCGAUGGUUCAUUCAAGUUUCUGCCCUAUCAACUUUCGAUGGUAGGGUAUUGGCCUACCAUGGUUGCAACGGGUGACGGAGAAUUAGGGUUCGAUUCCGGAGAGGGAGCCUGAGAAACGGCUACCACAUCCAAGGAAGGCAGCAGGCGCGCAAAUUACCCAAUCCCGACUCGGGGAGGUAGUGACAAUAAAUAACAAUGCCGGUCCCUAUAGUGUCCGGCAAUUGAAUGAGUACAACUAAAU
Molecule: ribosomal RNA, 522 nt
Filed under: Demospongiae sp. KU-D-3m-5-10
Lineage: Eukaryota; Metazoa; Porifera; Demospongiae
Description: SSU rRNA
Rfam family: Eukaryotic small subunit ribosomal RNA
Source: RNAcentral